CCUUCCCGCCAUUUACACUGUCCGAUUUCUCUUCGUUUCAUUUCCAAAGACACUCCAAAUUCCGUUCCUCUCUCUCUCGUCCAAGUUUGAUCGAGGGAGAAAGUUGACGAAGCAACGGCCGAGAUGCUGAAUCCGAAGCCCUUCGCCGGAGGCAACGUGUUCGUGUCCUGCAAUCUUGUUGCUCAAGAGAUAUUUGAUGCUCUGAAGCAGAAUGGGGCUGACGUCUUCAUCUGUUGCGAUCCUUCUCGAAACGGGCGAAAAUUUCGAGGAUCUUUGCGCGAAGGUGUGCAAUUUUUUAGAGUACAGACCGCUUCCUCAACAGGAUUUUACUUGUUGCCUUGCUAUGGAUGGUGUGAAAAUUCUGGCAUCCGGUUUUCAGGCGGAUGAAAAGCUACGUUGCUAAUGUUCCUAUUUCCCCGUUUUUAUAGAAGCUUGUUUCUAAAUUAUAAUACAAAAUUGCAGGUUUAGUUAGGGAAGUUAGUUACUGCAAUGGGAGGAGUAUUGCAUACAAAAGCAUCUCUAGAUUCACCUUCAUUGUCGUGAAGAAUGUCUUGGCUGCAAAAUACAAGCUGAAAUUGUUGAAUGGAUAAAUCAAAAGGGGGAGGGGAGAUUGUUGAGGACCACAAGAGAAACGACAUCAAAAAUCUUCUGUAGUAACUUUACAUGUUCCUGAUGUUGCUGCUGCAAUUGAGAACUUGUUGGAGCAGACAAGAGCUGAAAGAAAAGAAGACGUUAGAAUCCUAAUACUGGAGAUGGGAGCGGAGGCAUAUAUGGUGGUUUUUGUGAAACACAAACCGAGUCUCAGGUCGUGGGUUAUGAAGAGGAUUUGUCGGGAAUGCAAAUACUUAUAGACAGAGUUCGAACCUGGAGUAGCAUGACUUAAACCUACAUCUACCCUUGUAAAAUACGUAAAGCCUUAGCCGCACUGUGAAGGUUUGAUUAGAGCUUGAUAUAAGAUUUAAAUAUGCGAAGAUAUAAAAUACGCGUGUUGGUACGCUAGAGAAUUAAAUGUCAAGAAAAUAGGUUUGAUUAAUUUAAUAAGACGCAAUGUGCGUUUAAAAAAUUAGUCAUCAAGAAAGUAAACAAGAUUAGUGGAAAAACUGCCUCCAGAAAAUAUCUUGGGCAAAAAAAGUCCUGCACUGUUUCGAUGAUUAAAAAAAAAUACAUAUUUUCUAGAUUUUGUUUUUAGAAAUCAAGGUAUAUUCAUUUUUGGGUUUUAAAAAAAAUUAAAAAGUUUCUUAAAUUGUAGUUUCAUGAACUGGGUAAUUACAUGAAUUCAUCAGAUAAAUACAUAGUGUAUGUAUAUAUUUCUAUUUAUUUAUUUAUGUAGGGAGAGAAUUUG
Molecule: RNA transcript, 1342 nt
Organism: Cucurbita moschata (crookneck pumpkin)
Lineage: Eukaryota; Viridiplantae; Streptophyta; Magnoliopsida; Cucurbitales; Cucurbitaceae
Exons: 6
Source: RefSeq, a predicted model, not a curated record